AAAAAAUGGAUUAAGGAGAUACUAAAAUCAAACACAAAUAUGACUGUCAAAUUUCCAUAUUUCAAGAAACUUCUGCGAACUGGUUAUUCAGUUCUAAUUCUUCCUGUCAAUCUUAAAUGCAUACAUUUGUUUGAUUGAUUUUGUGUGUGUGUGUGUGUGUGUGCUGGGAAUUGAAUCCAGGGGCACUUUACCACUGAGCUACAUUCCCAGCCCUUUAUAUUUUUUAUUUUGAGACAGGUCUCAAUAAGUUUCUUAGGGCUUCACCAGUUGCUGAGGCAGACUUCGAACUCGGGAUCCUCCUGCCUCAGUGUCCAGAGUAGCUAGGAUUAUAGGCAUGAAUGCAUGCAUCACCAUGUCCAACCUUGAUUUAUUUUUUAUAAAUUAAAACUUGCUAGGUAUUCUUAUUGCAUAAUUUUUAUUCAUAAAAAUUGGACUAGGUUUAUUUAGUACAACUUUUUAAAUGUUUUUAGAAACUUCAUUUAUCUCCAGUGUUAGUCCUAAUCAAAUUUAUUGCUCUGUACUUGAUGAUACCUUAAAGGAGAUAGUGGAGGAUGAUGGGUGUUAUUUUUUUAAAACUUUUACAUUGAAAUCUUUAAGCCACUUUUACACAGUCAUUGUAGUACAGCUUACUUAAUUUUAUUGUCUCUGUUUUGUACAAGUGACUUGAGAACAUCCAGGGCACGACUUCUUGAAUUAUUCACUGAUUUGAGCUGUAAUCCAGAAAUGAUGAAGAAUGCAGCAGAUUCAUACUUUUCACUCUUACAAGGUCAGUUACUUGUAUGAACUUCUCAGCUAAAAAAUAAAAAAUUAUGCAGAAGUUAAUAUUUAACUCUUAUACACUUUUCAAAUUUGGACAGUUUAAUUUCCAGGCCAUACUUGUAUGCUUGAAUUUCAAAAAUGUGAGAGUGUAAUGGUAGUGUGUGGUUUAACAUUUUGAGAAUUAAAUAUGUACAUAUUUUAUAUUACAUUAUCUCAGAAAAAGGUGUGGGAUGUGGGAAGAGAGAAGGGGGCCAAAAAAAUUCAUUCAGGCACCUGGAAAAGUAAUUAUCUGAAAAUAUGUCCAAAUAGAACACAUGAUAUUUAUUCUAAAUCUAAAAUGUCUUGUAUCUUUUUGUAGGUUUCAUAAAUUCACUGGAUGAAUCUACCCAGGAAAGCAAGUUGCGAUAUAUUCAAAAUUUCAAGUGGACUGAUACGUUGCAAGGACAUGUUCCAAGGUAAGCAAUGUUAAUGUACUAAAUGGAAGCCAGUUUUUGUAACUAUAUAGCCAGCCAUUAACUCAUAGAUUCUGUAUUUGAAGAAUAAAAAUAAGGUCUGAUCAGCAUUUUCUCUUGUCAGGAAAUUAAUUAGAAGCAUUGGAUUCUAAUUCAAAUAUAUAAUAUUAAGUAAAAUUAUUAGUUGUUUCUCCCAGAGCAUGUCUAUUUUUUAUAAACUCAAUACAAACACUAAUAAAAAUUGAACAGUCUUAUUUUAAUAAGACACAAAGAAUGUUUUAGAAAUUUGAAACCUAAACUGACUUUCAGUCUUUGCCUAUCUUCAAGCCAAACAGAAUUUUGGUUUUCCCCUACUUUCUUUUUCUAAGGGAUAGUUCAGAAUACUUUGGUCAGUCUGUAUCUGUCUUCUUAACUCCAUAGUCUUUUGAUUCUAGAUAUUUGGUUUUUUAUUUCUUUUUACUGUUUCUACUCUGUUUACAAACUUUCCUUCAGAGCUUUUUCAUCACUCACUUGAAACUAUCUAAGAUGAAAUUAUAGCAGGAAAUAUGUCAUAGUAUUAACUUUAUUCAAUUACUUUUUUUGUUUUUAAACAUCUUUGAAUUAUUAAAAAUACCUGUAUAUUUUCAUCUCAAUUUGCUGUAGAAUUACUGUUUUGUAAGAAAGAAAGGGCUGGGCAAUUGCUGGAAGAACAGGGCAAAUAGUGCAUUAUAUAGAAAGAGAAUGGAGGUUGAAUUUACACAUAGCAUCUAGGUAUGUAGCACAGCAUCAUACCUAGAUGCUAUUCCACGUUUUCUGCAAAGGAAACAUCUGCUUCUUCAACUAGAUUUUGGUGUUAUAAGACUUUGUGAGGAACAAAUAAGAAAACUUAGGUUACGUGAAUAAUAUUAUAAUGCCAGGCAUUUAAGAAGACAUUCACUAAAUGUUAAUUCAUUUUUUUCCUUGGGAAUAUCUCGUGUAGAAUUUAUAAUUGGAUAGGAAGUAGGGAAGAUGGAUCCUUUCUAAAUAGUUUCAAGUUAAUAUUCAAACCUUUAUUAUUACUAUAGACUUUGGCAGAUUCUAAAAUGUUUUGCAUUGUGUAAAUUUGGCCUACCUACCAAAUUUUUAUUCCAUGUUACAGCAAGCUACUAUUUAUUGUGGGUUUUUUUUAGCAUUUUAUGAGAGAGUGAAAAAUUAUGUGAUGAAAACCUUAAGUAACACUGAAAACUUAGUACAUAUGAGAUUUCUAAUUUACUUUAUGCUUUAUUUCUACUUAUUCAGCUGAGAUUAUGCUGUGAAUCUUAUCUGCUCGGAAAAAUUAUUUCUUGGAUUAUAAAUGCUCUGACUGCUACUUAGAUGUGGUGUCACAGAAAUGGAUUGUUUUGGAACAAGGUGGAUUGAAAAAAAUGAGUAUAAAAAGAAAAGAGUUAUUCAUUAGGCUUCAUGUAAAUUAAGAAAACUGUCAUGUGAUUUAAAAGUAAAAUUAUAAAUUAGAAAUACACAGUAGAUCACAGGGUGUAAUUCAUUUGAAAUUUCUCAAGUUUCAAAAAGAAUAAGCUAUUUAACUGUGAAUAACUUUUUUUUAAGAUGGUAAAACUGUUUUGUGAGGUUUGUUUAUAAACUUUUUCAUGUAAUGUACAUGAAAAUUACAUUAAUUUAUGAAUAUAAUUUGUAAAUUAUAUUUAAAAUUAUUUAUAAAUUAACUAUCUAUAACUUAUUUUAAUUACAAUGUUUUCUAGCUUUCUGUGUGUGUAUGUGGUGCUGGUGCUAGGGAUUAAACCCAAGGCCUUACACAUACUAGGCAAGGGCUCACACCUCAUAAAUUUUGUUUGUUUUGUUUUUGUGGUACUGGGAACCCCAAGGCCUUGCACAUGAUAGGCAAGCUCUCUACACUGAGCUACAUCCUCAGCUCUUUAAUUUUUAUUUUGAGAACAGGUCUUGCUAAUUUGCCAAGCUGGUCUCAAAUUUGUAAUCCUUUUUCCUGGGAUUACAGGUGUGUGCCAGUUUGCCUGGCCAAAAUCAAUAAAUAAAAUACAAAGUAGAGACAUCCUUCAAAGCUUUUCCCUUUUGGUAACUUUUCAGUAUCUAUCUUAUUUUGCAUAAGGAUGUUAUUUCUGCUUUCUUAUUUCAUCAGUUGAAAUGAAUACGAUAGUGUGUAAAGAAUUUGCAGGUUCUUAAAAUGAUGGUGAAUAAAUUGGUGUUCAUAUCAUUUACUUAAUGCCAUUUGCCAUCUUUUAAUGUUAUAGUAAUAGAAUAGGAAGGAAAUAAGUACAUAUACUUGUUUUCAGGACCUUUUCUUUGUAAAAUACUGAUUCAAAAUCUUCUACAGUUUACUUCAUUUUGACAUUUCAUCUUUCUUUUCAUCCAUUUCUUUUUACACUAUCUGCUCUAAUCAAGCAGUUUGGGUCAAUUCUAUCAGAAAAAUCUUUAUACUUUCUUGUGCUUUGACAGCUUAAGUUUCUCACCUAGAAUGUCUUUUGCUUCCCUUCUAAUCAUCUCUCAAGGCACAAUUCAACUUUUAUAUAUACCAUUAAUCUUUUUGUAAUCAUCCUAGCCUAAAACUACCUCUCCUCUUAAUUCUGUUUUCUUAAUAUAUGGUAUAAGAACCAUCCAUUUCAGAAUCAAUUGAGUAUUUUAUAGAUUCUGGGCUCCAUUCCAGACUUUCUAGCUUUUUGAGGGUAAGUCCCAGAAAUCUCUGUUUUUAAAGCUACUCUAUCUACAGUAAUCUUUGGAAGUACUAUUCUUAUAUUAUUCAGUUGUAUAGUACAUAUUGCAUUACUAUAUUUAGCUAUUCAUUGAUAAUUAUUGGGUCUUAUCUCCCCAUCUAUAUUAAACACAGAACCAUUUUCAUUAUUCCUACUCACACAUGAACACACACCCAACCACUUACUUUGUAAUUCUGAGUUGGAUAUUCAAUAGGCUUCAUGUAGCAAUAGCUCAAUAAUUUUAUAGAACUCAGUUGGGUGUGGUGGCACAUGCCUAUAAUUCCAGCAACUUGGGAGAGCAGGAAAAUUGGAAGUUGGAGGCCAUCCUCAUCAAUUUAGUGACACCAUGUCUCAGAAUAAAAUAAAUAAAUAGAAAUGUCUAGGGAUGUAGCUCAAUGGUAAAGUGCCCCUCAAUGGUAAAAUCUCCAGUUCAAAAAAAAAAACCAAAAAAUUUACAGAAAAUAAUAAUCAUGUUUUUAAUUUCAGUGCCCAGCAGGAUGCUGUUUUUGAAUUAAUUUCCAUGGGAUUUAAUGUAGCUCUGUGGUAUACCAAAUAUGCUUCAAGACUGGCGGGAAAAGAAAAGUAAGUUAAAAGAGAAAGGGUUUAUGUAUGUAAUAUGAUGUUUUUCAAAUAUUUUGAGUUUCAUUAUAAAAAGUUUAGGCUGUUGAUUAAAGAAUACCGUGUUGAGUGAGUGCACAUAUUUUAAGUUUUAGAAUUAGGGAGCCUAGUGUUAAGAGAAGAAAAAAUUUUAAAAUAAUCUUGUAAUGUGAAAGAUUUUCCUAAAUAAGACUCCAUACCAAGAAACUGUAAAAGGAAGGAUUGAAUAUUUGUCCGCUUAGAAGUCCUAUGAACAUAGCUUAAGAAGCACGUGACAGAAUUGGUUUAAAACAUUGCAAUGCAUAUGGUGAAUUAUUCAUUUCUUAAAAUGUAUACUCUUACAAAUCAACAAAGACCAUCAAAUUAGUUAAAAAUAAGCAAUGGACAUGAAUAGGCUAUUCAUAGAAAAAGAAAUGCAAAAGGUUUUAAGUAUAUGAAAAGAUCUUGAAGGUCUAAAAGAAUUACAAAAUAAAAUGAGGUGAAAUUUUUAUAAUAGCUAAAGUGUCUAGAGCAAUAGGAAAUUGGCAAAAUUGUUAUAAUUUAUCCAUACAUAGGAAUAGUAUGAUACCAUUGAAAAAUGAAGUUGAAUCUUGUGUACUGAUAUAAAAUUAUCUCUAAAGUGAUUAAAAUUAGGAGAGUAGCGAAUAUAGAU
Molecule: long non-coding RNA, 5141 nt
Filed under: Marmota monax (woodchuck)
Lineage: Eukaryota; Metazoa; Chordata; Mammalia; Rodentia; Sciuridae
Source: RNAcentral